GCUCUGACGGCAGCUGGCUGUCUGGAGAUUGAGUCGACUCCUAAAUCACAGUAAGGUAAGGAUUGUAGCCAGUGUUUGCUUUAUCUGUAUAGAAGAAGCUCGGAGAAAGCAAACCCAAUGGUAGGUUUUCUUGGUGUUACAGACUGUUGCGAACAGGAGCAGGGGUAAGCACAGGGUGGCUCCUGCCUAGAGUCCUCUGUGGGUGUACCUUCAACAUCUACCUGGUGAGAAGACAGAGCUGGUCUGCGGGUGUCAACUGUGUAUCAGACAGAGGGGACUCUGUCCAGGGGAUGUUGCUGGGAGAGCAGAAACCCAACGUGUAGCAGCUGAGAACCCACAGAUGGGAUUCCCCCCGUGAUGGCCUGUCCAGGCAAGUUUACAAAGUAACCAGGUGGUGAUCAUACUGAGCACUGUUUUUGGUCAGUUCCACAGGCAUUUAUUUAUUUACUUAUCUAUUCAUCUAUCUAUCUAUUUAUUUAUUUUUCAGUUGUAGAUGGACACAAUACCUUUAUUUGUUUAUUUAUUUUUAUGUGGUGCCAGGGAUCAAACUCAGUGCCUCACGUAUGCUUGGUAAAUGCUCUACCACUGAGCCACAACUGCAGUCCCUUUAUUUUCUUUUUUUAAGUCUCCUAAAAUUACACAUAUUUCUUCUGAGUCUUUCAUAAUCUCAAAUGUUGGGCAGCACCGAUUGAAAAAUAAAUUCUAUGCAUUUAAGCUGCAUUGACGAUUCAUAUCUUGUGGUCUAGGCCAGGAAAAAACAGAAAACAUUUUAGUGACCGAAAUAGCUCUGUCGGGCUUUACAUGUCCCUUUAACCCAGACUUUACCUACAUGAAAACCUUUUAGUAAAAAUGUGGAUGUGUAACCGAUGUGAUUCUGCAAUUUGUAUUUGGGGUAAAAAUGGGAGUUCAUA
RNAcentral lists this long non-coding RNA (911 nucleotides) under Marmota monax (woodchuck). The record is from RNAcentral. Lineage: Eukaryota; Metazoa; Chordata; Mammalia; Rodentia; Sciuridae.